UUUGGUUCUACUCACAUAAAACCUUGUAAUCAAAACAAAUGGCAUUUCUAAUUGAGCAAGGCCCUCUUGGUAAUGAAGGGCAGCAGCGCUGUUGAGAUCACUGGUUCGUGUUUCUCUCCCUGUUCAGGAGACUAAACUAAUUUAUUUGUGAAAUCAAAGCAACCCACCAGAUUAGCCAUAUAACUAGCUAGCUGCGUUGUUUAGAUUCACUUGUUUGCUAUCUCAUGACAUCCAAGUGAACAAGCUAUAUGUCAAUGAAAGCGUUGGCGCUCUAUCGUAUAUUAUAGACUAGUUUGAAGUGCAAAAAAAAAGAUCGUGCAAUGGGGCCACAAGCAGUAAUUAUUUUUUUUUCCUGUGAGCAUAUGCUGCGAGUGGGAAAGGACCGUAUAAUGUAAACGGAGGUUUCAUUAGCGAUGACAUGUGGCAGUCCCCGGGUAAAGGAAGAGAAAGCAAAUCUGGGAGCACCUGUAGACUUCGCAGGCUUGUACCCGUGAGGAAGAGGCACGUGCAGGGAUGUACCGAGGGCAACGGUACGGGAAGGUGCCCGGCGUGUUACGGGACUGACCACGCUGAAUGCUGAAGACCUUGCCGUCCCCGCGGGCGCGCUGAGCAUCUCCAUCAUUACCCUCUCGCCAGCUCGCGAGCUGAUAUUAAACGGACUCUGCGGUAGAGGUGCCGGUGGCAUGAGCUGCUGAGCUCAGCAACGCUUCAUCAGGACGCUUAGAUUCACAGCUUUUUCCCCGGCUGAACUCAAGCAAGGCAGACCCCGCGGGAGCCGCUGCUCCGGAGAGCAGCACGCUUUGGUUGCCCGUCGCACCCCAUCCCGGUCGAAGGCAGGCAGUCACCCAAAGGCAUCUGCCAGCACAACUGCCUCCAAACUCUGCUGAGGAACCAGAUGCAGCAGGAGAAAGGGAAAAAAAAAAAAAAAAUCCCUUCUGUGGCUUGGCAUCUGCACGGCACACGUGCCAAGCGGUGCGGGAGCAGGGGGAGAGGAAGCGGCGGCGGACUGGGGGCUAUUUGGCACCCCUGCAGCCCGCAAACGGUUUGGGUUUGAGCUGAGAAACAAGCGACGUGCGCUAAUGUAAAGUGUGUGUUUUUCGCAAUUUGAAAAGCCCGUGUUGAAAUGGGAAAAAAGAAAAAAAAAGCCAAUGGGUAGAUUCUGCUGAGUUCAGCAGAGUCAGAAUCCUUCUAACAUAAAGGGGGGCCUCUCUGUAUACAGGCUACGUGGGGUGCAGUUGCAAGGAGGAGCCCCCACCCCUUAUCUAUUUCAGAAGGUGCUGAAGGUGUCCUGGGACCGUUCAGCACCGACAGUCGGCUCGUACAGCUAAAAACCCGCUUGAUUUUUUAAUGUUCAAGCCUGUACAAGCUGCUUGAAGCAAGAUGUAAAGCAGGUGUUAGAAGCCUCUGGAAAGUUUGCUGUCAAUUACUGUGAUUUCCUCUUCCCAACAAAGACUUAAAAGCUGAAUGGAUCUUUUCAGUUAUGUAAAUGCACUUUUCCAUAAAUACUUAUUUUGCAGCAGAAGCCAAAAAAAAUGCCUGUGGGGGCUGGUGUGUCUAGUUAGGGACUGAUCUAAUCCCGCUCACGUCCGUGAGGUCACGGAGGUAUUCCGGCUGGCGGCGGCCUGGGUCAGCUCUGAGCGUGGGUGUCCGAGGCUGCCACCCUGCUGUGGCUGUGGGUGCUCCCGGGGGGGGUCGCAGGGCAUUUCUGCACCCCCCGUGCACACUCUGCUCUCUGGUGGGCAGCGGGGCUGGGACAGGAUGCGGUUUUUGAUUUUGUAAAAUCUGAAUUGAAUAGGAAUUGUCUCACUGCUACUGAGUCAUCAGGAGAAAACCUUCCCCCUGCCCUCAAAUUUGAGAGGAAUAUAUUUGCAUCACGAAAACUAAUCCACUGCUCCUUGUUUCUGAAGAGCCAGAGGUUUAUUCAGCUUCUGGACUGUGAGCUAAAACUCCUUUGCAGGCAUGACUGGAUGUGAGGUUUUUCUCUCUUCACUGCAAAGGCUGUGUGCUGGGGUAUAGCAAUGCAAUGGGUGAGACUGGGAGGACCGCACUUAAGCUUCUCUCCCAAACUGGUGGAUGUUUGGUAGCUUCAGCAGAUAAGAAUGCUGGCUGUUGGCAACGUACUUUU
This is a long non-coding RNA of Aquila chrysaetos chrysaetos, 2125 nucleotides long. RefSeq lists it as uncharacterized. The record is from RefSeq and is a predicted model, not a curated record. NCBI's taxonomy places the organism in Eukaryota, Metazoa, Chordata, Aves, Accipitriformes, Accipitridae. The transcript is spliced from 3 exons.